RNAcentral lists this ribosomal RNA (292 nucleotides) under uncultured bacterium. RNAcentral's name for it is "partial 16S ribosomal RNA". It matches the Rfam family "Bacterial small subunit ribosomal RNA", at positions 505 to 796 of the family's 1533-position model. The record is from RNAcentral.
GUGUCAGCAGCCGCGGUAAAACGUAGGUGGCGAGCGUUAUCCGGAUUUACUGGGCGUAAAGCGUGUGCAGGCGGGGCCACAAGUGGUGUAUGAAAUCGCUCGGCUUAACCGGGCGCGGGUAUGCCAGACUGUGGUUCUGGAGUGCGGGAGAGGGGCGUGGAAUUCCGGGUGUAGUGGUGAAAUGCGUAGAGAUCCGGAGGAACCCCAGAGGCGAAGGCGGCGCCCUGGCCCGACACUGACGCUCAGACACGACAGCAUGGGGAGCGAACGGGAUUAGAAACCCCCGUAGUCC